AGCGCUACCUUCGGGUGGAGCGGCGGACGGGUUAGUAACGCGUGGGAAUAUACCCUUCACUAUGGAAUAGCCUCGGGAAACUGAGAGUAAUACCAUAUACGCCCUUCGGGGGAAAGAUUUAUCGGUGAAGGAUUAGCCCGCGUAAGAUUAGAUAGUUGGUGGGGUAAUGGCCUACCAAGUCUACGAUCUUUAGCUGGUUUUAGAGGAUGAUCAGCAACACUGGGACUGAGACACGGCCCAGACUCCUACGGGAGGCAGCAGUGGGGAAUCUUAGACAAUGGGCGAAAGCCUGAUCUAGCCAUGCCGCGUGAGUGAUGAGGGUCUUAGGAUCGUAAAGCUCUUUCGCUAGGGAUGAUAAUGACAGUACCUAGUAAAGAAGCCCCGGCUAACUCCGUGCCAGCAGCCGCGGUAAUACGGAGGGGGCUAGCGUUGUUCGGAAUUACUGGGCGUAAAGCGUACGUAGGCGGAUCAGAAAGUAUGGGGUGA
RNAcentral lists this ribosomal RNA (486 nucleotides) under uncultured bacterium. RNAcentral's name for it is "bacterial SSU rRNA". It matches the Rfam family "Bacterial small subunit ribosomal RNA", at positions 65 to 597 of the family's 1533-position model. The record is from RNAcentral.